RNAcentral lists this ribosomal RNA (254 nucleotides) under uncultured bacterium. Its description in RNAcentral is "partial 16S ribosomal RNA". It matches the Rfam family "Bacterial small subunit ribosomal RNA", at positions 524 to 776 of the family's 1533-position model. The record is from RNAcentral.
UACGUAGGGCGCGAGCGUUAUCCGGAUUUAUUGGGUUUAAAGGGUGCGUAGGCGGCGGGAUAAGUCCGUGAUGAAAUGCCAGGGCUCAACCUUUGGCGCUGUUACGGAUACUGUUCGGCUUGAGUGCGUUCGAGGCCUCUGGAAUGAGUGGUGUAGCGGUGAAAUGCGUAGAGAUCACUCGGAACACCGAUUGCGAAGGCAGGGGGCCGGGGCGCAACUGACGCUGAGGCACGAAAGCGUGGGGAUCAAACAGG